Molecule: RNase P RNA, 401 nt
Filed under: Rhodospirillaceae bacterium
Lineage: Bacteria; Pseudomonadati; Pseudomonadota; Alphaproteobacteria; Rhodospirillales; Rhodospirillaceae
Description: RNase P RNA component class A
Rfam family: Bacterial RNase P class A
About the family: Ribonuclease P (RNase P) is a ubiquitous endoribonuclease, found in archaea, bacteria and eukarya as well as chloroplasts and mitochondria.
Source: RNAcentral
CCAGACGGUCGGAUGGCCGCCUCCCGGCAACGGGGAAACCCGCCGGGGGGAGGAAAGUCCGGGCUCCACGGGAACACGGUGCCGGUUAACGGCCGGCGGGGGUAACCCCAGGGAAAGUGCCACAGAGAGAAGACCGCCGCCUCUUCGGACGCGGCAAGGGUGAAAGGGUGCGGUAAGAGCGCACCGCAUCGGCGGUAACGUCGAUGGCAAGGUAAACCCCACCGGGAGCAAGACCGAAUAGGGACGGCACGCGGGCGCAAGCCCGCAGGCGGGUUUCCGCGCCGCUGUCCGGGUAGGUCGCGACGAGGCGCCCGGCAACGGGCGCCCCAGAUGAAUGGCCAUCCAUCGCCGUUGCUUAGGCGCGGCGGGGACAGAACCCGGCUUACAGACCGUCUGGACCU